Molecule: non-coding RNA, 74 nt
Organism: Megalops atlanticus (tarpon)
Lineage: Eukaryota; Metazoa; Chordata; Actinopteri; Elopiformes; Megalopidae
Source: the annotation of a GenBank genome assembly
CACAUUGUGGCUCAUUUGGUUAAAAUGCCUGCCUAGUAAACAGGAAAUCCUGGGUUUGCACCCUAGCGGUGCCU